Molecule: ribosomal RNA, 426 nt
Filed under: uncultured Acidobacterium sp.
Lineage: Bacteria; Pseudomonadati; Acidobacteriota; Terriglobia; Terriglobales; Acidobacteriaceae
Description: bacterial SSU rRNA
Rfam family: Bacterial small subunit ribosomal RNA
Source: RNAcentral
ACGCGAAGAACCUUACCCAGGCUUGAACAGCGAGUGACCAUUCACGAAAGUGGACUUCCGCAAGGACACUCGUAGAGGUGCUGCAUGGCUGUCGUCAGCUCGUGUCGUGAGAUGUUGGGUUAAGUCCCGCAACGAGCGCAACCCUUGUUUGCUGUUGCCAUCAGGUAAAGCUGGGCACUCUGCAAAGACUGCCGGUGAUAAACCGGAGGAAGGUGGGGAUGACGUCAAGUCAGCAUGGCCUUUAUGUUUGGGGCUACACACGUGCUACAAUGGCCGAUACAAACCGUCGCGAGCCCGCAAGGGGGGAGCUAAUCGGAGAAAGUCGGUCUCAGUUCGGAUUGUAGGCUGCAACUCGCCUGCAUGAAGUUGGAAUCGCUAGUAAUCGCGGAUCAGCACGCCGCGGUGAAUACGUUCCCGGGCCUUGUA